ACGGAAGGCAGCAGUGAGGAAUAUUGGUCAAUGGACGAGAGUCUGAACCAGCCAAGUAGCGUGCAGGAUGACGGCCCUAUGGGUUGUAAACUGCUUUUGUACGGGAAUAAAGUGACCUACGUGUAGGUUUUUGCAUGUACCGUAAGAAUAAGGACCGGCUAAUUCCGUGCCAGCAGCCGCGGUAAUACGGAAGGUCCGGGCGUUAUCCGGAUUUAUUGGGUUUAAAGGGAGCGUAGGCGGGCCUUUAAGUCAGUGGUCAAAGCGUGUGGCUCAACCAUACCACGCCGUUGAUACUGGAGGCCUUGAGUGCACAUAAGGAUGGUGGAAUUCAUGGUGUAGCGGUGAAAUGCUUAGAUAUCAUGAAGAACUCCGAUUGCGAAGGCAGCUGUCCGGGGUGUAACUGACGCUAAUGCUCGAAAGUGCGGGUAUCAAACAGGAUUAGAUACCCUGGUA
RNAcentral lists this ribosomal RNA (453 nucleotides) under uncultured Prevotellaceae bacterium. RNAcentral describes it as "bacterial SSU rRNA". It matches the Rfam family "Bacterial small subunit ribosomal RNA", at positions 341 to 792 of the family's 1533-position model. Lineage: Bacteria; Pseudomonadati; Bacteroidota; Bacteroidia; Bacteroidales; Prevotellaceae. The record is from RNAcentral.